CCUACGGGGUGCAGAAGUGAGGAAUAUUGGUCAAUGGACGAGAGUCUGAACCAGCCAAGUAGCGUGAAGGAUGACUGCCCUAUGGGUUGUAAACUUCUUUUAUAUGGGAAUAAAAUGUUCCACGUGUGGGAUUUUGUAUGUACCAUAUGAAUAAGGAUCGGCUAACUCCGUGCCAGCAGCCGCGGUAAUACGGAGGAUCCGAGCGUUAUCCGGAUUUAUUGGGUUUAAAGGGAGCGUAGGUGGAUUGUUAAGUCAGUUGUGAAAGUUUGCGGCUCAACCGUAAAAUUGCAGUUGAAACUGGCAGGCUUGAGUACAGUAGAGGUGGGCGGAAUUCGUGGUGUAGCGGUGAAAUGCUUAGAUAUCACGAAGAACUCCGAUUGCGAAGGCAGCUCACUGGACUGCAACUGACACUGAGGCUCGAAAGUGUGGGUAUCAAACAGGAUUAGAUACCCUAGUAGUC
This 460-nucleotide ribosomal RNA is filed under the name uncultured bacterium. Its description in RNAcentral is "partial 16S ribosomal RNA". It matches the Rfam family "Bacterial small subunit ribosomal RNA", at positions 338 to 795 of the family's 1533-position model. The record is from RNAcentral.